AUGGCUUCAAAGAUUCAAGCCUUCUUGAACCAUCCUGCUGGCCCCAAAACCAUUCAUUUUUGGGCUCCAACAUUUAAAUGGGGGAUCAGCAUUGCGAACAUUGCCGACUUUGCUAAGCCUCCAGAAAAGAUAUCCUAUCCUCAGCAAAUUGCGGUUGCCUGCACUGGAGUCGUCUGGUCACGCUACAGCAUGGUUAUCACACCGAAAAACUGGAACCUUUUCAGCGUUAACGUUGCGAUGGCCGGCACAGGCCUGUACCAGCUUUCCCGUAAAAUAAGGCAAGACUACUUCUCUGAUGGUGGGAAGGAGGUGGCUGCUGCAUCACUGGAAGGGUAG
This 336-nucleotide ribosomal RNA is filed under the name Triticum aestivum (bread wheat). RNAcentral describes it as "partial small subunit ribosomal RNA". The record is from RNAcentral. Lineage: Eukaryota; Viridiplantae; Streptophyta; Magnoliopsida; Poales; Poaceae.